This 453-nucleotide ribosomal RNA is filed under the name uncultured bacterium. Its description in RNAcentral is "bacterial SSU rRNA". It matches the Rfam family "Bacterial small subunit ribosomal RNA", at positions 328 to 793 of the family's 1533-position model. The record is from RNAcentral.
CUUCCAGACUCCUACGGGAGGCAGCAGUGGGGAAUAUUGGACAAUGGGGGGAACCCUGAUCCAGCGACGCCGCGUGAGUGAAGAAGUAUUUCGGUAUGUAAAGCUCUAUCAGCAGGGAAGAAAGAAAUGACGGUACCUGACUAAGAAGCCCCGGCUAACUACGUGCCAGCAGCCGCGGUAAUACGUAGGGGGCGAGCGUUAUCCGGAUUCACUGGGUGUAAAGGGAGCGUAGACGGCCAAGCAAGCCAGGGGUGAAAGCCCGGGGCCCAACCCCGGGACUGCCCUUGGAACUGCAUGGCUGGAGUGCGGGAGGGGCAGGCGGAAUUCCUGGUGUAGCGGUGAAAUGCGUAGAUAUCAGGAGGAACACCGGCGGCGAAGGCGGCCUGCUGGACCGCGACUGACGUUGAGGCUCGAAAGCGUGGGGAGCGAACAGGAUUAGAUACCCUGGUACCG